CGGCGCGCGCGCGCGCACAUCCCUACCUAGCAGCGCGUUGGCCGGCGACCGCGGAGCUUGAACCUGACAGAGCCGGAGUUGAGCCAGCAGGGACGCGCGGAGGGGCGAGAGAGCCCUCAGAGAUGUCCGCGCGCCUGCGAACCAACCCUGAGCAAGGUGGACUGAAGCCCGAGUUCUAAGCCCUGAUUGCUGAGUUCUAAGAUAAUUCCGUUUGGGGAGAGCAUUUUCUCAUUCCUAAACCUGGUUUCUAAAUUUCCAUCCUUAAUUCCCAGUAACCUUGAAGGAUGUGGCCUCAAAGUGGGCUUUUUCACCACUCUUCUUUGUCCUUACAGGGUGUCUGUGUUUGUGAAGCGCUCCCUCACUGAUUUCUUCUGUGGGACCCUAGUUGAAAAGGGAAAUAACCUGCGGGGAAAGAAGGACAAAGUGCUGAGCACUGCUGGACAUCAUAUGAAGAGAAGGCUACUAAGUGAUAGAUCCAAGAAUUUAGGGCAAGAGGAAGCCCAAAUGAGAGUUGCAAUGAGAAGCUCAGCUGGCCCCACAAAAACCUUAUUCAGAUCCUGCACAUAAAAACCUGAGAAAGUGCCUGUUUCAAGCCUAGCUACCUGGACUGGAGGCAAUAGACCUUCAUUAUGGAUAGAAAAAGACUUCAGGCAUUUAUCAGGGAAUGGAAAUAGCCUCUUUUGAUGCCCCCACUAGCUUUAUUAAGAUAUAAAUGGCGUAGAAUAAAUUGUAUAUAUUUAAAGUGUACAAUUUGAUACUUCUUGGCAUAUUUAUAAACCUAUGACAAUAUUAUGAUAACCAAAAUAAUGAAUAUAUCUAUGACUCAAAAUGUUCUGAUUUCCUGUGUGACCCCUUCCUCUUGGCUUUCCCUGUUUAUCCCUACCUCAGGAAAGUACUUGUUUUCUGUCAUAAUAGGUUAGUUUGCAUUUUCUACAAUCUUAAACAAAGUCACGCAUCUUUUUGUGGGGGGUGGUCUGGUCUAUUUUGCUCAGCAUAAUUGAGAUCUAUAAACAUUGUUCUAUGUAUUGAUGCUUUUUCCUUUUUAUUGCUGAGUAAAAAAUACAUUAUAUGGACAUUCUAUAGUUUAUUUAUUCAUGCAAAUAAUGAUGGGC
RNAcentral lists this long non-coding RNA (1112 nucleotides) under Fukomys damarensis (Damara mole-rat). Its description in RNAcentral is "lncRNA (ENSFDAG00000022093.1)". The record is from RNAcentral. Lineage: Eukaryota; Metazoa; Chordata; Mammalia; Rodentia; Bathyergidae.